This is a long non-coding RNA of Phyllostomus discolor (pale spear-nosed bat), 2221 nucleotides long. RefSeq lists it as uncharacterized. The record is from RefSeq and is a predicted model, not a curated record. Lineage: Eukaryota; Metazoa; Chordata; Mammalia; Chiroptera; Phyllostomidae. The transcript is spliced from 2 exons.
GGACUAAUAUCCUUCUUCUUCCUUGGCUUCCUGUUUUUUCUUGAACUUUAUUCCAUGCUUUGGCAUAUGAGCACCUAGACCAAUGCAUACCUUUAUUCUCUGGUCUCCUCUCUCUUAUCUCUAAGUGGACGCUGCCUUGCCUUGUGAAUAGUGUGUGGUGAUUUCAUAAUGAGCCCCAAGGCAUCCAUAAGAAAGGUGGAAGACAAAAAGCGAGAAGUAAAAGGGAGGAGGAUUUCAUGCUUAACAUAUGGAGCUAUAGCAUACCAUCUGCUUGCUUAUUUGCCUUUUAAUGCUCUUUUUAGUCUGAGGGUCUUAAUUCUAUCAUCAUCUCCAGCAAAGAUUUUUAAGAUAAACUACUAUGUAGAGAGUUCUGCCUGAUGUAUAUUUUAAGGGUUCUGCUGCUGAGAGAGCCAGAGAGAACACUGCCUUCAUUUCUUAAAUUCCUACAAGUAAUAUGCAUCGCCUUUUCUUACCAUCCACACAUUUGUUAUAGGAGCAUCACAUCAUCCUUAAUCUGGGGAUUUUGAUAUCUUCUAAGGAUUUUAAAAAUUUGAUCUAUUAGUAUGUUACAUACAACUGUGCCAAGAUGUAAAGAAAAUAUAAAACAUUUCCUGAAGUUUGAUUUCAUAAAACAAAUAUUUAAUAUUAUAAAAAGUUUACUCGUAUUCUCCAACCACCACCAUCUUGUGAAGCAGUCAGUUGCCAGAGAAAUUGGUACAUUAAAUUAACAUAUCAAGUACAAAAAGAUAUUCUGAAUUAAUAAUCUGUUGGGAAUGAAAAUAAGUCAUACGGUAUUUAAAAUUAUAAAGUAAUUUUAGAAAAGGGUAUGAUUUGUGAAAAUACAGUCAAUACCCUUUUUCUCCAAGAAUGCAUUAUAUAAAGUAAGGGGUAACAUAUGUGUCUUAGUCCAUUUCGACUGCUAUAAGAAAAUGCUAUAAACUGGGUCAUUUAUCCACUGUUUUCUUUAUUUCACUUUAACCUCAUAUGAUGUAAUGGGCAAAGAGGGUCUCUGAGGACUCUUUUAGAGUGUUAAUCCCAUCUUGUGAGGGCUGUACCUUUAUGAUUUAAUUGCCACCUAGUGGCCUCACUUCCUAAUACCAUCACCCUGAGGGUUAGAAUUCAACCUAUGAAUUGAGAGCGGGGUGUAGGGACAGGACACAAACACUCAGGCCAUAGCAGUACGUAUCGAGCAAACAUUUUUUAAUCGAGUGUUCAAUAUAAGGUACUGUGCUGUGUGGCUAGGAAUACAAAUGAAUAAAAUGUGGUCCUUGCCCUUCUUGAGUUGAAGUGUAUUGAAGAAGAAAAAUGUAGAAAUAAUGAUGAAAUAUAUAUAACAUUAAUAACACCCAAAGGAAAUCACAAGUGAAGCUGCAUGGGAGUUUUACCAAUUAGGAAUUCAGGAAAGACUUCAGGCAGGAGCUGCUUUUCAGUAACUAUGAACUUGACAUUUGUAACUUCAAAAGAUUCAUGUACUUCUUGCUUAAUUUUAGUUCUUUAAAACUUUAUAGAAAAUAGUUUUUUAACAUGAAACAGUGCUACCUGAACCCUUCAAGUUGAGAAGGAUAAUUUAUAUCCUGGAGUACUUUUUAAAAUUAAAAUAAUAUGUUUGAGGUUUACAGAAAAAUUAAGCAGUAAGUACAGAAAGUUCAUAUAUAUCCUACCUUCUAAAAAUAAUCAGUUUCUUUUGUUACUAACAUCUUGCAUUAGUACACUACAUUUGUCACAACUGAUACAACAAUUACGAAAAAAUACAUUAUUCUUAUUAACAAAGUUUGUAUUUUACGUUAGGAUUCAUUCGUGUUGUAGUUUAUAUGGGUUCAGGGAAAUACAUAAUAUCACAUGUUCACCAUUAAAGUAUUGUACAGAAUAGUUUUCACCAUCCUAAAAAUUCCAUGUGUUCCACCUAUUCAUCUCUUUCUUCACUCUCCCAUACCCUGACAACCAGUGAUUAUUUUACCGUCUCUGAAGUUUUGCCUUUUUCAGACUGUCAUAUAAUUAGAAUCAUAUCACAUGUCACCCAUUCAGACUGGCUGUUUUAACUCAGCAAUAUGCAUUUCACAGUCAUUCAUGUCUUUUUGUGACUUGAGAGUUUAUUUCCUUUUAUUACUGAAAAUAUUCCAUUGUAUGGAUGUACCAUGGUGUGCUAAGCCAUCCACCUGUUGUAAGAUAUCUUGGUUGCUUCCAGAUACUGGCAUUUGUAAAUAAACUGCAAUAAACUUUA